CACGUGCGCGAGUCAUGGGGUUCUACGAAACCUAAAGGCGCAAUGAAAGUGAAGGCCUUCCGCAUGGUGGGCUCAGGUGGGAUCCCGGGGCAUCCGCGCCCGGGCGCACCACCGGCCCGUCUCGGUCAUAACUGACGAGGCGGAGCAAGAGCGUACGCGUUGGGACCCGAAAGAUGGUGAACUAUGCCUGAGUAGGUCGAAGCCAGAGGAAACUCUGGUGGAGGACCGUAGCGAUUCUGACGUGCAAAUCGAUCGUCAAACU
RNAcentral lists this ribosomal RNA (262 nucleotides) under Branchiomma sp. B MC-2010. RNAcentral's name for it is "partial 28S ribosomal RNA". It matches the Rfam family "Eukaryotic large subunit ribosomal RNA", at positions 679 to 911 of the family's 3401-position model. The record is from RNAcentral. Lineage: Eukaryota; Metazoa; Annelida; Polychaeta; Sabellida; Sabellidae.